GUGAGACAAAUAUUUAUUGAGCACCCACUGUGUGCCAGGCACUGCGAACGAGCCCCAGGAAGCCCACAGUGGAGGGGGGGGGCAGACAAGUAAACAGGCCCCUCGGCUUAGGGACCGUGAGGGGCCCAAUCCAGCUGGAGUCAGGGAGCCUCUCGGCAGAAGUGUCAUCCAAGCUGAGGCGGGAAGGCAGAGCAGGAUCCCACGGCUGAAAGGAGGUGCGGGGAGCCGGGGAGCUCCAGGAAGCAGCCUGUACGCGUGGGUCCACGUAGAGUCUGAGAGCGCAGCAUCCAGAUGGAGAAGCGGCGGAGGCGGUGGAGCGGGGCUCCUGUCCACUCACUCAUCCGUGGGUGCGUGGAGUCCCACUGUGCUGGGUGCUGGCAAGGGCGAACAAAGGAGAUACGGUCCCUGCCCUCCCAAAUCACAUGGCAGUGGGAGAGGGAGACGAGAGCAAACCGAGUGGCCAAAUACAUAAACCAGAUCACUGCGGGGUGUGAAGAGCGAGUGGGGCCGGCCAGCCUGGGACAUGGGGAGCCGAAGCUGGAAGCUGCAGCCAGGAGUUCGGAUGUCCUGGGAGGACUGGCGCCAGCGCAGAGCCGGAGGACAGCUUGCCGAGCCCCUCCCUGGCGGGCUGAUAAAUGCCGGCCGCGGCCCCCUGUGCGCCAGAGCUGCCUUAAUUGGUAUCAGGACGUGCCUGGACUCCAUCCGCCAGGCCUCUGCCUUCCUCUCCUCCUGCUGCCUCCUUCUCCACCCCGCCGGCCUCCAGCCUUCAGCCAAGGGACUCCAGCCCCUGGCAGCGCUCACCUGCUGCCCAGCCUGCGGAGGGGCCUCCUGAAGACCCCCGACUCCGAGCCCACCCCUGGGCUCCUGGGGGAGGGCGCAGCAGCCGCUGCCCCAGGAGGGGCACGGGAGGGGGGAUUCCUGUAUAUGUGAUACCUACUGUGUGCCCAGCCUGUGCUAACGAAGCCUUCUGCCCACCCCCCUCACUCACCCUCCCAUAGCCCUGCGAGGCGGAGUUCGCAGUUCGGGGAACCAUCCUCCUUUCCCGUCGUGUCGUCUGCACUCCCAGGAAGUAUUUUCUGAGCACUCUCCAUGCCUGGCCCCAGCUGUGGCUGGGGAUGCCCAAGGAGCCCCCUGGCUGGCUGGCAGGAAGGAGGCUGCCUUCCCAGUGGCCCAGCCCUGCUGGCAGCCACGCGGUGGGCUGGUAGGUGUUAAGGAUGGGCCCUGACCCCUUGCCCAUCUGGGCAAGUUCAGAGAGGUCUGGCAACCUGCCUAAGAUCACAGAGCUAGAAAAGGGGAGAGAAAGGCUGCUCUCCAAACAAACUCACUGUGAAUUCUCAGCAUCAUGUGUGCCCAGACCACCCAGGGUGCAUGUUAGAAAGUUAAAUGCCCCCCACCCUGAGUUUCUGAGUCUUGGACAUCAAGCUUCCCAGGUGAGAGGGCGGCUGAAAUCCGGCGGGCCUGGCCCAGGCCACUCUGGACCUGGUGAGGAAGGAGGAACGGUUCUCAGCUCCCAGCCCUCCUGGAAAAGCAGGCAGGGCGGGGCAGGGCAGGGGUGACGUUGCAUUCCUUCACUCUAGCAGCACUCACCAAGCCCCUGGCUGGUCAGGCUCCAGUGCAAAAGGAACGCGCAGGGCCCGAAGUCACUAAGAAUUCCAAGGCUGUGACAGCAGAGCGUUUAUCCCAGCACCAGACCCUUUCAAGCCAGGGGCACGGAUCACACGCCCAGGAAGCUGGCCCUGGUCCUGGGGGAACCAAACAGGAAGACAGAUAAAUGAGCCCAAUCUCCUGGUCCCUUAAAAGGAAUCCUAAAAUUAAUAAAAGGUCUGAAAACCCGAA
Molecule: long non-coding RNA, 1836 nt
Filed under: Dasypus novemcinctus (nine-banded armadillo)
Lineage: Eukaryota; Metazoa; Chordata; Mammalia; Cingulata; Dasypodidae
Description: lncRNA (ENSDNOG00000051339.1)
Source: RNAcentral